AGUCACACUCCCACCUCUCUCCUAUCUGAACUUUUGAAAUUGAAAGAACAAACUCAAGAAAGAACGCUAGCCACCCAGUCCCGCCGCCCGCAGCCACCGCAGCCACCGCAGCCACCGCAGCCACCAAGCCCCCGCAGCCCCGUUGCGUGUAUAGGCAUCGCGUGUAGAAGCUCUGUCACCGUCGCAAGAGCUGUGUCGCCGUCGUAGGAAGCUCCGUCGCCAUCUUAGGAAGCUGUGUCGUCGUCGUAGGAAGCUCCCUCGCCGUCGGGCGGAAGCUCUGUGGCCGUUGCCGUCUCCUCUGUUCGAGCGCUCUCUCUCUCUCUCUCUUAUCGCCGGUGUCGCCGCUCCUCUGUCGUCGCCGUCACUCCCCUUCAUCCUUGCCGCCGUGAGGAUAGACGACUAAGAUGGCUUUUCAGCAAUUUUUGAGGAGGAAACGCCAAUCUCACUCUCAUUUGAACUCUGGUUAAACCCCGGUCAAAUCAUUGAACCAGUGAACCAGUAGUCUUAUAGGUUCAUUGACCGGUCCGGUUCUCUCAACCUUGGUCUGAACCCACAUAGCCUCAGCCCCUUUUGUUUAGUCCCUCACCUCACCACACCUCAACCCUAAUUUCCUCUUCCAAUCUUCCUCCUACUCCAAUGAAGAGCAGCCGCCACCAUCACCGCUAUCCACUCCUCACUGUGGGUCGUCGGUGUGUCUCCCCUCCUCACCCUGUUCCUCAUCGUUUCUGGCUGUCACCUCUUCUCUGCUUCCGUCAGUCUUCUUGACUUCAUCGCUGGCACUAGAAUUGAGGAAAUCACAGUUGCAGUUUGUAUCAAGCUGUCCAAAUAUUGUUUCACAAAGGCUUACAUGGAGAAAGGCCUUCGGCAAAAAGUUGAAACAAAGCAAAGGUAGCACAUGCAACCGAAAAUGGACAUAGACUAUCAGGUUCUAUCUGAAUACUUCACUCGGUUUUCUGAAAGUUAUUUUUCUAUAAAAUAAAUAGAAAACUAAGCUAUGAAAAUUUAGAACUAAUAUGCUGUGUUAGCAAAGACACCUUUAUAAGAGGCGUUUUCAGUAUUGGAGAGUUAAUUCGCAUAUCCGAUUAGUGCCUUCUACAUGGAAAUUACGAUCUCGUUCAGCGUCUUUAGCGGUAAAGGUGCCACCCGGUUCAGUGCAUCCUAGUCAACAAUGCUAAAAAAAAGAUACAGUUGCCACCAUGGCAAAAAGAGCUGCUGAGCAGUAUAUUUCAAAAGGAUGACAAUUUGAUAAAUAAUUUGCAAAAUUUAAAAAUAUUAUAGCUGAUGACAGACAUGAAAAAUAUUUUGAUUGACAAAUUUUUGUUUAGGUAUCAUAAAGGAGCCUAACCUAAGGAAAGGAAACAAAAACAAUCACAAACACAAGUACAACUACUAACUAGUUCAUUAUCACGUUAGAAGGAAGUGAAAUGUAAAACUCAUUAACAUCAUCAGUCAAGAAAGGGGCGAGUUCCCCAAGAGCAUCAGAAAGUGGAAUUCUGAGGUAACUCCAAGCUUGAUCUCCCAUAGUCUUUUUUGCAUUUGAUCUAUCCUUCUGAGAAUAGGGUUUUGAUUCAAUCUGCACCCCAAAUGGGAGUUCAACAAAACCAUACAAUCAAUACAUAACAUUUACAAUAUUUCUUUUGCGAUGCUGACCCUAGUAGUAAUAGAAAGAGGAACAACAUUUGGAUUGAAAUUUUGGCUUGAAAAACAACAUACAAAGUUAGCUCUAUGAUACACAUAAGCAUUUUUAAUGAGAUUCUUAUGCAGUGUUUAGUUCCAAUGAUCCAGCCAUAAGUCAAUAUCUUGUUUUAAAAUAAUUAUUAUUGUAUACGUGUGAAAAGUCCUUGAUCUCACUCAUCAAAGGCAAAAGAAGUGAGUAAAAGCACCACUGAAAAUAACUAUUUAUAAUUUUCAUUCAAUAAAUGAUCACAAAAUAAAAAAGAAUUCACAACUACUCAAAAAUAAUUCAAUAAAUUACCAAACAAUCAUAAGAACGAGAACAAAAAGUUUUGUUCAGAAGCAUGGGUGGAUAUAUAAUGUAUUCUUUUCAAUUAACUUUGAAACAAAUCAUCUCACCUUGUUUGCCAAGAAGACUUUCACUUUGAAUUUCACUGAAAAGCUUUCAUGCUUUCUCAUUCAUAUUUCUAUGAAAAAGAGCCAUAAUUAUUGGAUUAUAUCUGUCAAAAUUUGGAAGGUCACCAUUGCCUUCAUCUUAGAAAUUAAGGCUAUUGCUUCAUCAAAUAAACCCCUCUUUGGUAAGCCCAUAUAUCAUAAUAUUAUAAAUAUCAAUAUUACAACAAUUUCUGGCCAAAAGAUCUUAAAAAAAAUUCUCUUGCAUCCCUUCCUCUUCCACAUUUUUCACAAACCAUUCAAAGAAGUACUGCAUAUGGACGGAUAUGGAGUAAUCUGUUAUUAUAAACUCGUGAACAGGACGAUGGUUUAUGCAAAAAAACAUAGUAUGCAACAAGUGAUUAAAAAUCUCAUCAAGAAGAGCUUUGACUGAUGAAAUCCCUGAUUUGCAUACAUCACAAACAUCACAAAUUAAGGAAUUGUACGUUACAAUAUCAGGAGCUACACCUUUAGUUCAGAUCUCAUUAAAAGAUACUAAUGGCUUUAUCUAUCUUUUUGUUUGUUACUGCAAUAGUCAUUAAUCAUAAUGUGACAAUUCUAAAGAUCGGGUGCCAUUCUGUCAAACUAACUUUUCUGUCUCAUUAGCUUUCUUAAUUAGAAAGUAACCAUCAAUUAAUACACUAUAAAUCACAACAUUAGGAAUAUAGUAUUGUUUCAACAUCAUACUAAGUAUUUUUUGAACUUGUCCAUCUCUUCCUCUUCUACACAAAGCAUUGAAUUAAUAUACUUAAUCUAUAUUCAUUUGGUUUGAUGCUGUCUUUCAUCAUUUUUCUUAACAAUUUAUUCUAAUUGAUUAACAUCAUUCUUAAAUAAAGGAGGAAUAAAUGAACACAUUAGAAAAAAUUUCCCAUGCAGUCAUUCUUGAAAUCAAAUCUUUGGCCUUCUCAACAAGCCUAUCAACAACGGUGCUGUAUAUUAUUAAGUUGGGCUUAGUUGGUUUCUGUUCUAGUAUUUGCAGCACUUCAAUAGCUUUCCUAUCCGAUCUUUCUCACAAAUCCUCUUGAUUAAUGUCUCAUAAGUGACUUGGUUAAAGUUGAAAUCCCAUGGCAUCUACCUUAUGGAAGCAUUGGAGCUUCAUGUUAAGUUAGAUGCCAUGUGAUUUCAGCUUAACAAAAUCCCUUAUUGGACGUUAAUCAAGAAAAUUUGUGAGGAAGAUCGAAUAGAAGAAGUUUUUGAAGUGCUGCAAAUACUAGAGUAGAAACCAACUAAAGCCCAUUAAUAAUCUACAGUAUCGUUGUUGAUGCAUUAUGCAAAAUUGGGCUCGCAACCGAAGAUUUUGAUUUCAAGAAUGAUUGCACGUAGAAUUUCUCCCAAUAUGUUCAUUUAUUCUUCUUUGAUUUACGGAUACUGUGGUGUUAAUAAAUCAGAAGCAGUUGUUAAAUUGUUGAGAAAAAUGAUGAAAGGCAGCAUCAAGCCAAAUGAAUAUACAUUAAGUAUAUUAAUGGACGCAGAAGAGGAAGAGUUGGAGAAGCUCAAAAAGUAUUUAGUAUGAUGUUGAAAUAAGGCUAUAUGCCUAAUGUUGUGAUUUAUAGUGUAUUAAUUGAUGACUACUUUUUAAUUAAGGAAGUGAAUGAGGCAGAAAAGUUAUUUGACAGGAUGAUCAGAGAAGGUUUAGCGUCCGAUGUUCAGAGUUGCAACAUUAUGAUUAAUGGCUAUUGCAGGAACAAAAAGAUAGACUAAGCCAUUAGUCUCUUUAAAAAGAUGCUUACCAAAGGUGUAGCUCUUGAUAUUGUAAAUAAUUCCUUAAUUUGUGGUUUAUGCAAAUUAGGGAUGUUUUCAUCAGUCAAAACUAUUCUUGAUGAGAUGAAAGAAAGGGGACAAUAUAGAUGCUUUUUGCAUAAACCAGCUUCUGAUGAAGCAAUUGUAUUAUUUCGCAAAGUUUAUAAUAACAAAUAGAUUACUUCAUAUCUGUCCAUGUGCAGUACUCUUCUUGAUGAGAUGGAAGAAAGGGAUGCAAGAGAGUUUUUUGAGGGUCUUUUGGCCAAGAAUUGUAAUAUUGAUAUCUAUAAUAUUAUGAUACAUGAGCUUAUCAAAAAGGGGUUUAUUGAUGAAGUAAUGGCCUUAGUUUCUAAGAUGAAAGGCAAUAGUUACCUUCCAAAUUUUGAUAGUUAUAAUCCAAUAAUUAUGAUUCUUUUUCAUAGAAAUAUGAACAAGGAAGCAUGGAAGCUUCUGCGUGAAAUUCAGGAUUUAGGUCUUCUUAACAAGAAGGUGAGAUGAUUUGUUUCAAAGUUAAUUAAAAAGAAUACAUUAUAUAUCCACCCGACCAAAACUUUUUGUUUUCGUUCUUGUUUAGGAUUCCAAGAUUAUGACUCCCCAUGGGUGGGACAGAUUCUUGGAUGGGAAACCUGAAUAUGAUUGUUUGAGUUUCAAUCCAAAUGUUAUUCUUUUUCUAUUGAUACUGAUGGGCAGCAUCGCCAAAGGAAGUAUUGUGAAUGCUAUGUUUUGAUCGUAUGGUUUUGUUGAACUCCCAGUGCAGAUUGAAUCAAAACCUUAUUCUAUAGAUCAAAAUACGAAAGAGACCAUGGGAGAUCAAAUUUGUACAUACUUAGAUAGAAACAAAGCUUGGAGUAACCUCAGGGAUUCCACUUUUUGGAUGUUGCUCCUGGAGAACUCGCCCAUUUCUUGACUGAUGAUGUUAAUAAGUUUUACAUUUCACUUUCUCCUAAAGUGACAAUGAACUAGUUAGUGGCUGUACUUUGUUUGUUAUUGUUUUUGUUUCCUUUCCUUGGGUUAGACCCCUUUAUGAUACCUAAACAAAAAUUUGUCAAUCAAAACAUUUUUCAUGUCUGUCAUCAACUAUAAUAUUUUUAAGUUUUAUAAAUUAUUUAUCAAAUUGUUAUUCUGUUACUAUCUUUUUGUCAUGGUGGCAACUGUAUCCUUUCCUUGGCAUUGUUGACUAGGAUGCACUGAACUGGGUGGCGCCUUUACCACUAAAGACGUUGAACGGGAUCGUACUUUCCAUGUAGAAGGCACUAACCGGAUAUGCGAAUUAACUCUCCAAUACUGAAAACGCAUCUCACAAAGGUAUCUUUGCUAAUGCACCACAUUAGUACUAAAUUUUCAUAGCUUAGUUUUCUAUUUAUUUUAGAAGAAGUCUAGGGGGCUAGCAACUUUUGUGUUUUGUGGCCAGCACUUAACCAUCAAAAGAAAAGUGAGUGAUUUCCCACCAUUUGAUGUAAUCUCAAACCAUUAAAAACACUAUUGAUGGUUACAAAACACAAAAAUUGUUGGCCCCUAACACUCUUCUUUAUUUUAUAGAAAAAUAACUUUCAGAUAGAACCUGAUAGUCUAUGUCUAUUUUCGGUUGCAUGCGCUCGCUUUGCUUUUGUUUCAUUCGUUUCAACUUUUUGCCGAAAGCCUUUCUCGAUAUAAGCCUUUGUGAAACAAUACUUAGACAGCUUGAUACAAACUGCAACUACAAAAUGUAGAAAUUAAUUAAAAAACUUAGGUCCAUAGAAGGUAGUUCCAUGUUACGUAAUCUUGAGUUCAAAGAAAUAGAAAAAUCAAAAGAUAAGUGAAAAGGUAGGAUGCAAGGCUAUUCCAUCAUAGCAAUAUUAAAAAUCAAUAAGGAGAAUUUUUCCUCUAGAAAAUUCACUCGAACGAAAGUCAUAACAUAUGAAGGCAGAAGAUCAUACAACCCGUGAUUUUCUCAAUUCAAGUGCCAGCAAUGAAGUCAGGAAGCUGAAAGGGUUGUUUCUCAGUUACCUCUUCUGGUUUUGUAAGUUCCUUUGUCCUGCCAAACUUUUUUCCUGAAACAUCAAAUAUACAAAUUGAAAGGAAAGAAAAGUUAAUGUGAUGUAAUGCUUUUUAAAUUCAUACCCAGUGUACCAAGGAACCAUGUCCAAAAAUGUUAAUGGGUUUCAUCUGCUUCUUCUUCAUCUUCCCAUAUUCUUUAACAGAUAGUCAGGUGGGUGAGAGCCGCAUAUAUAAUUAAUACUUUUUAUAGCUAACGUUAAAAAAUAUAAACAAAUAAAUUAACUAAACAAAUAUAUUCUACCUCUUUUCAACAGAAAUUAUUGAUUACAUAUUCUCUACAUAACUAUUGAUCGAUUAGAUUUUUUAUUAAACCUUCUUAGUGAUUUCAAAUGGUACAAUCUUCUUGGCAGUUUUCCACCACAGAUUCCUGACCUCAGAAACAUGAAGUAUGUACACCUUAAAAUGUUUCAUUAGUUAUUCUAUGCUAAAAUAUAGUUACUUUAACUUCUUGUCUUCUUAAUUUAAAUGAAAAAAAAAUUCUAUUGAUACUGCUGGGCGAUGCCGAUGGCUUCAUAAUUAUAUUUUUACAACCUUGAGGUCGUUCUGAGUAUUUGUGAGUUCGUUCUGAUUUUGUGAUUAUUUAUUGAAUGAAAAUUACAAAAUAGAGUUAUUUUUUUGUGGUACUUUUUGACUCACUUUUUUUACCUUCCAUGAGUGAGAUCAAGGGCUUCUUCACACGCAUAAAAUACUAAUUAAUUUAAAACAGGAUUUUGACUCAUGGCUUGAUCAUUGGAACUAAACACUGCAUAAGAAUCUCAUUAAAAGUGUUUAUGUAAUGAUUGCAUUGUUUUGUUGAACUCCCACUUGGGACUUUGUGGAUGCUGCUCCUGGAGAACUCUCUCCUUUCCUGACUGAUGAUGUUAAUGAAUUUCAUUUUAUACUUUCAUUUAAACUUCACUUUAUACUUUCAUUUAAACUCUAAUUUGACAAACGCCAAUUUAAACAGGAGGUUGAAGGGUGAACAAUGGAGUCAAAGUCUACAGAUUGUAAUUGUUUCCGGUUUUCACGAACCUCACUGGUUAUUAGUGUGGCCAUCGGUCCAAUUGACUAAGAGAUUAGUUUCGAUUAGUUUAUGAGGUCUCUAUUUUCCUUUUGAGAUUUUUGAGUCACCAUAUUAGUGUGGUCAUCGAUCCUAUUUGAUGGUCUAAGUUUUGAGAUAGUGUCAAGUGUUAUUGUAUAGCUUUAAGGGUAUGUGUAGUUGGAGGAAUUAUAAAUAAUUCUUAGGAAUUUUAAGAUGGGAAUAUCAUAUUCUCAUAUUUGUUUCAAAAUUUGAGGUUCAAAAUUUGAAAAGCUGGCAAUUAAAAUACCAUCAUUUCAAUUUUCACCUUCUCCUUGGAUAUCUUAGGGGAAUGGAAUCUUUGUAACAAAGACAUACUUGAACCACACACACCCUAAGAGCCAUUUUUGGACC
Molecule: non-coding RNA, 7294 nt
Organism: Arachis ipaensis
Lineage: Eukaryota; Viridiplantae; Streptophyta; Magnoliopsida; Fabales; Fabaceae
Source: RefSeq, a predicted model, not a curated record